RNAcentral lists this ribosomal RNA (769 nucleotides) under bacterium EJ10-61. Its description in RNAcentral is "bacterial SSU rRNA". It matches the Rfam family "Bacterial small subunit ribosomal RNA", at positions 57 to 820 of the family's 1533-position model. The record is from RNAcentral.
GCAAGUCGAACGGCAGCACGGGGGCAACCCUGGUGGCGAGUGGCGAACGGGUGAGUAACAUAUCGGAACGUGCCCUGGAGUGGGGGAUAACUAGUCGAAAGAUUAGCUAAUACCGCAUACGAUCUACGGAUGAAAGUGGGGGAUCGCAAGACCUCAUGCUCGUGGAGCGGCCGAUAUCUGAUUAGCUAGUUGGUGGGGUAAAGGCCUACCAAGGCAUCGAUCAGUAGCUGGUCUGAGAGGACGACCAGCCACACUGGGACUGAGACACGGCCCAGACUCCUACGGGAGGCAGCAGUGGGGAAUUUUGGACAAUGGGCGCAAGCCUGAUCCAGCAAUGCCGCGUGAGUGAAGAAGGCCUUCGGGUUGUAAAGCUCUUUUGUCAGGGAAGAAACGGUUCGGGUUAAUACCUUGGGCUAAUGACGGUACCUGAAGAAUAAGCACCGGCUAACUACGUGCCAGCAGCCGCGGUAAUACGUAGGGUGCAAGCGUUAAUCGGAAUUACUGGGCGUAAAGCGUGCGCAGGCGGUUGUGCAAGACAGAUGUGAAAUCCCCGGGCUCAACCUGGGAAUUGCAUUUGUGACUGUACGGCUAGAGUGUGUCAGAGGGGGGUAGAAUUCCACGUGUAGCAGUGAAAUGCGUAGAGAUGUGGAGGAAUACCGAUGGCGAAGGCAGCCCCCUGGGAUAACACUGACGCUCAUGCACGAAAGCGUGGGGAGCAAACAGGAUUAGAUANCNCUGGUAGUCCACGCCCUAAACGAUGUCUACUAGU